AGAUUGAACGCUGGCGGCAUGCCUUACACAUGCAAGUCGAACGCGAAAGCGGGGGCAACCCCGCCGGUAGAGUGGCGGACGGGUGAGUAAUACAUCGGAACGUGCCCAGGAGUGGGGGGAUAGCCCGGCGAAAGCCGGAUUAAUACCGCAUACGUCCUAUGGGAGAAAGCGGGGGACCUUUCGGGGCCUCGCGCUCAUGGAGCGGCCGAUGUCGGAUUAGCUAGUUGGGUGGGGUAAGAGCUCACCAAGGCGACGAUCCGUAGCUGGUCUGAGAGGAUGAUCAGCCACACUGGGACUGAGACACGGCCCAGACUCCUACGGGAGGCAGCAGUGGGAAUUUUGGACAAGUGGGGGCAACCCUGAUCCAGCCAUGCCGCGUGAGUGAAGAAGGCCUUGGGUUGUAAGCUCGUUCGGCCGGAACGAAUCGCAGCGUUAGAAUAGGCGUUGUGGAGUGACGGUACCGGAAUAAGAAGCGACCGGCGUAACUACGU
This 491-nucleotide ribosomal RNA is filed under the name uncultured soil bacterium. Its description in RNAcentral is "bacterial SSU rRNA". It matches the Rfam family "Bacterial small subunit ribosomal RNA", at positions 26 to 506 of the family's 1533-position model. The record is from RNAcentral.